AACGCACAUUGCGCCCUUUGGUAUUCCGAGGGGCAUGCCUGUUCGAGCGUCAUUAUGACCACUCAAGCCUAGCUUGGUAUUGGGGUUCGCGGUCUCGCGGCUCCUAAAAUCAGUGGCGGUGCCGUCUGGCUCUAAGCGUAGUAAUUUUCUCGCUAUAGAGUCCGGGUAGUGGCUUGCCAAAACCUUAACUUCUCACGGUUGACCUCGGAUCAGGUAGGGAUACCCGCUGAACUUAA
This 236-nucleotide unclassified non-coding RNA is filed under the name uncultured fungus. RNAcentral describes it as "sequence contains ITS2". Lineage: Eukaryota; Fungi. The record is from RNAcentral.